This 1042-nucleotide long non-coding RNA is filed under the name Anas platyrhynchos platyrhynchos (common mallard). RNAcentral describes it as "lncRNA (ENSAPLG00000026618.1)". Lineage: Eukaryota; Metazoa; Chordata; Aves; Anseriformes; Anatidae. The record is from RNAcentral.
GCAGGACAAGGGCCGCUUCUGCCUCACCUACGAGGCCUCCAUGACGCGGCUCUUCCGCGAGGGCCGGACGGAGACCGUGCGCUCCUGCACCUCCGAGUCGACCGCCUUCGUGCGGAGCAUGGGGGACGCCGGGCAGAGCGUGAGCACCGCGCCGCCACAUGCCCCUCGCGCUGCACCUUGACCCAAAUCCCUGUCCUUUUGGGUGUCCCCUCCCCUUGGGGACAUCCCCGUCUCCAGCAGAGGCCCCUGCCCCUCGGGGAGGUCCCCGGAGGCAGCACCCGUCACCGCAGGAGGGCCCUGACCCCGAUGGAGGUCCCUGUCCCUUGGGGAUGUCCCCAUCCCUUGGGGAUGUCCCCGUCCCUUGGGACCAUUUCCCCAGAGCCGCGGAGCCGCUGCCAGCCUCAGGCAGGACAGAGGACGUCCCCCCCCGCACAGCGCACCCCGGGGUGGGCAGGUUUUGGGGUGUGCCAGCCCCUGAGCUCGGCUUUCCCCGCAGCGUGCCGAGCGCCAGCGGCUCUUCAAGCUGGCGGCGGAGAAGCACCAGCACAUGUACCGCAUGGCCAUGACCGGCGCCGGCAUCGACCGGCACCUCUUCUGCCUCUACGUGGUGUCCCGAUACCUGGGGGUAGAGUCCCCCUUCCUGGCACAGGUGCUGUCGGAGCCCUGGCGCCUCUCCACCAGCCAGACGCCGCAGCAGCAGCUGAAGAUGUUCGACCUGGACAAGUACCCGGACCACGUCUCCACCGGCGGCGGCUUCGGCCCGGUCGCCGACGAUGGCUACGGCGUCUCCUACAUCAUUGCUGGCGAGAACCUCAUCACCUUCCACGUCUCCAGCAAGUACUCCAGCCCCGAGACGGUGAGGGCUGAGGCUGGGGGCUGGGGGUCCCCGGGGCGGGGGGGGGGGGGGGGGGGGGCCCCCCCGGGGGGCGGGGGGGGGCCCCCCCCCCCCAACCCCACGCAGUGCUGAGCCUCACUGCAUCCCAGUCCCUCUCCGUGGGACCCCGACCACGCUCCAGGCUCACGGAGCUGCCUGUGUAGGACC